Molecule: ribosomal RNA, 520 nt
Filed under: uncultured Glomeromycotina
Lineage: Eukaryota; Fungi; Glomeromycota
Description: SSU rRNA
Rfam family: Eukaryotic small subunit ribosomal RNA
Source: RNAcentral
AGCAGCCGCGGUAAUUCCAGCUCCAAUAGCGUAUAUUAAAGUUGUUGCAGUUAAAAAGCUCGUAGUUGAAUUUCGGGAUCAAUUUAUCGGUCGUGCCUUCGGUAUGCACUGGUAUUAUUGAUUUCUACCUUCUGACGAACUAUGAUGUCAUUAAUUUGGUGUCAUGGGGAAUCGGGACUGUUACUUUGAAAAAUUAGAGUGUUUAAAGCAGGCACACGCUUGAAUACAUUAGCAUGGAAUAAUGAAAUAGGACGUUUGACCCUAUUUUGUUGGUUUUUAGGAUCGACGUAAUGAUUAAUAGGGAUAGUUGGGGGCAUUAGUAUUCAAUUGUCAGAGGUGAAAUUCUUGGAUUUAUUGAAGACUAACUACUGCGAAAGCAUUUGCCAAGGAUGUUUUCAUUAAUCAAGAACGAAAGUUAGGGGAUCGAAGACGAUCAGAUACCGUCGUAGUCUUAACCAUAAACUAUGCCGACUAGGGAUCGGAUGAUGUUAAUUUUUAAUGUACUCAUUCGGCGCCUUAA